This 225-nucleotide unclassified non-coding RNA is filed under the name Hevea brasiliensis (rubber tree). Lineage: Eukaryota; Viridiplantae; Streptophyta; Magnoliopsida; Malpighiales; Euphorbiaceae. The record is from RNAcentral.
UAAGGGAACCCCAGUUAGGGAGGGAGGUGAUGGAUGGAGGUGAUAUGAGGGAACCCCAGUUGAGUAGGAAGGUGAUGGGUAGAGAUCAACAUUUUAGUGAUAGAGGUGCCAUACGGGAACGCCAGUUGAGCAGGGAGGUGAUGGAUAGAGAUCAGCAUUUUAGUGAUCGAGGUGUUAUAAGGGAACCCCAGUUGAGGAGCGGUGGGUUAAUGGUGAGAGAUGAAG